Molecule: long non-coding RNA, 2589 nt
Organism: Canis lupus familiaris (dog)
Lineage: Eukaryota; Metazoa; Chordata; Mammalia; Carnivora; Canidae
Exons: 4
Source: RefSeq, a predicted model, not a curated record
CCGCCGCUGGGAGCGAUGGCGCGUGGGGCCCUGCGGCGUUCGGCUCGCUGACCGGACCUGAUCUAACGUGACACUCUCAGAAUCGCGCCUGAAAUCCAACCCCAAGACUAUUGUCUGCGACUGUGGGGCUUUGAGAAGAGAAGAUGUCCAGGCUUUGUAAUUCUGCUUCAGGAGGAAGCGGCCCCUGCCUCCGUGCUCAGGAUUGGUAUGCUGAUUUUUCAUUAUCGUGGAAGAUUUGGGAAGGGCCACCAUACUUUGUCUCUCUCUUCUCAUCUGCUCCUCUCCUCUUUGCCACUCAUACUCACACUCAAGAAAGUCACUUACUAUUUCCCAGAUACAUCUUCCUCCCUGGCUCUGCACAGACUGAUCUGUUUCUGCGUGAUUGAGGAUGCCCCGAAUCUGUGGACUACACUUUGGGAACCACUUCUCCACACCAUCUGGCCCCCAACACCACCGUGAACUCAUCUGGACCAUAUGCCUCCUUGCUGGUUGAACUUUAGCCUCACAGACAGCCCCAUCCCUGGUGCCUCAGCUGAGUCUUCUUUCUUCCCUACAUGGACCUACAGUUCACUACUUUGUCACCUGUGGGUCUGCUUAAAGACAAGACAGAAAAUGCAACCCAUGGUAUAAAUCAGGCGAUGAAGUUAAAGAGACCCUGGAAAAAUCACAUAGCUAUAUUUGCUAAAAUUCUGCCAGCAUUUUGCAGAGCACAUUGAAGAAUGGAAAGCCUCCACAAGAUCUAGGAGUGAUGGGUUCAUGGAUGCUGAUUGCAUUAAGAUGUACUAAUUGACAAAUAAAUACUUAAAUGACAAGAGGCCCUGGGUAUGGACUGAGGAUGAAUGUGCCAUGAAUCAAGGAUUAUGACUAAUCCAUUCUGUGCACCUGAGCUCCCUUCAAUCACAAAACAAAGCAGAAACUUCAGUGGUUAAAGACUGCAACCUCACUAUACACAUUUGCUAGAACCUUCUGAGAUACAUAAAGCAGGGUCUGGAGCUGAUGUACAGACUGGGUGAGUCAACUGCUGGGUCCAUGAGAUCUCUCAGAACCAGUGAGCUCUGAACAAGAAUUAGAUCUCUAGCCAUACAAGUUGGGUCACCAUUCGUUCUCAUGGAGGAUGAACUGGAGCUCUGUGGUUCUUCCUUUGUGGUUCAUUCCAUGUAAAUACUGAGAGAAAAAUAUACGUACCAAGUACAAGUUUAGUAUUUCUCAAAACAUUGUUUUGCCAUUGAUUUCUUAGGGACCCAAAUUAGGAUCUCCUUCACGUUUUUUCUGUUUAAAAAUGCACCAAGCAGACCCUACCUGAUGAUUAUUGCGUUGAUCUUCAGAACCCAGAGGUGGCAAAAGCUGGUCAUUUUUAUUACAAAGGAAGAUAUCCAAAUUUUUUAUAGAAUAUGAAAUAUGUAAAUCAGAAUUCCAUUGAGAAAAGAGAAGCCACUCUAGGCAUUCCAAGUAGAAAGUGCUUUAACAGAGGGCAUUAAAAGCCUACAUAAUCAUUGGAAGGGCUUAAGAAUAAUUGUUAGUGAAGCUUCGAGAAGAAGGUAAUUAACAAGAGAGCUCACCCGGUACCCACAGCAAAUCUUUGGAAGCUAAAUGGUGUCAACACUGCCAACAUCAGCUGUCUAUGAUAUCAAGACAGGUGACUUCUAGGACCUUGCCCAGAAGGUACUAUAACUUCAUAUUGGCCAUAUGCUCAUGUAGCUAUGUGAAACUGCCACCAAUAAUAAUAAAAAUAAUAAUAAUUAAUAAUAAUAAUAAUAAUAAUGGAUUCUCUUUUUUGCUUUCCAAAUUUCACUUGUUGGCCCUGUCUUUGGGAGACUCUAACCUGGAACCACAUAGAGAUAAAGAUUCUAAGAGAUAUAUCCCCAGGUUUCUUUCUGGCAAUGCAAAAAAGACUGCAAAACAUGCAUGUGGUGAUCACCCCACGUUUUUAAUUUUAUCAAAUUAAAACAGAUAAUCCAGCACAAUGAGGAAACCAAAGAAAAGUAAGGAGAAAGCAAGAAGCAUUACAAAACUCUGGUUUGUAAUAUGGUGGUGGAUUGAAUUAUUGCUCACCAAAUAUUCAUCCUCCAAUUUUCUCCAGCUCUAUGGAAGAAGUUUACUUUCCCAUCCCACCCAUGUGGGCUUGGGCCUUUGUCUUGCUUUGACCAAAGGAAUAUAGGCAGAAGUAGGGGUUCCAAGAAGAGGUUUUAAGAAGCAUUGCCUGUUUCUUCCAGGAAUCUUGAGAUUCUGCAUUCAAAAGAGAGCUACUGCUCCUUUAGCCUGGAUGUGCCAGAUUUAAAAAACAAAAACAGAACAAAACAAAACAAAACAAAAACAUGGCACCCAGUCAACAGAGCCACAGACAACCUACAAAUCCCUGACAAAUAUUCACCCUUAAAAGCCAUGAGAUUUCAGAGUUGCUUGGUAUCUCAGCAAAACAUACAGUCUCUGAGCCUGUUAAUUAUCACAUAUUAGCUAUGUGGAUGGUUGCCUUAUAUAGAAGAAUGAGCACAGAUUUUGGAGUUCUGGCUCUAUCAGAUAUUAACUGUUAUAAUUACAGGUACAUUUUCUCUUUCUGAGGCUCCAUUUCCUGAGGUACGUUAAAAUGAA